RNAcentral lists this long non-coding RNA (416 nucleotides) under Gallus gallus (chicken). Lineage: Eukaryota; Metazoa; Chordata; Aves; Galliformes; Phasianidae. The record is from RNAcentral.
GGGGAACGUCGGUGGUUUUUGAUUCACGGAGGUCAGCAGCUGCAUGAAGUACAUGCACAGCAGCCUCCCUGUUUCUGUGGGGGUUGGGAACAGCGUUUUGUGGCAAUUUAUGAUUGCAGAGUGAAUGUGUGACAUACGUUUCUCACCUGGGAGCCAACAGUGGCUUUGGCAGUUUGAUACGCAACAGUUGCUUCCAUUUCCAUUGGUAAUCCUAACACUGCUGCCCGAACUGCACGCUCAGCUUCCCAGAACCGCGUUGGAUUGACACUGGCUCAAGGAGUCCCAAGGCUCAGAGUGUGCCCACAUCCGACCUAGCCUUCUCAAGGCACAAAGGCUCCUGUUCAACUUGGUCCUUCCAGGCGUGAUCAUCCCAGGCUGCAGGAGAGCAGCAAAUGGCCACAGCACAUCGGUGUCAG